AAUCUGCGAUAAGCGUCGGUAAGGUGAUAUGAACCGUUAUAACCGGCGAUUUCCGAAUGGGGAAACCCAGUGUGUUUCGACACACUAUCAUUAACUGAAUCCAUAGGUUAAUGAGGCGAACCGGGGGAACUGAAACAUCUAAGUACCCCGAGGAAAAGAAAUCAACCGAGAUUCCCCCAGUAGCGGCGAGCGAACGGGGAGCAGCCCAGAGCCUGAAUCAGUGUGUGUGUUAGUGGAAGCGUCUGGAAAGGCGCGCGAUACAGGGUGACAGCCCCGUACACAAAAAUGCACAUGCUGUGAGCUCGAUGAGUAGGGCGGGACACGUGGUAUCCUGUCUGAAUAUGGGGGGACCAUCCUCCAAGGCUAAAUACUCCUGACUGACCGAUAGUGAACCAGUACCGUGAGGGAAAGGCGAAAAGAACCCCGGCGAGGGGAGUGAAAAAGAACCUGAAACCGUGUACGUACAAGCAGUGGGAGCACGCUUAGGCGUGUGACUGCGUACCUUUUGUAUAAUGGGUCAGCGACUUAUAUUCUGUAGCAAGGUUAACCGAAUAGGGGAGCCGAAGGGAAACCGAGUCUUAACUGGGCGUUAAGUUGCAGGGUAUAGACCCGAAACCCGGUGAUCUAGCCAUGGGCAGGUUGAAGGUUGGGUAACACUAACUGGAGGACCGAACCGACUAAUGUUGAAAAAUUAGCGGAUGACUUGUGGCUGGGGGUGAAAGGCCAAUCAAACCGGGAGAUAGCUGGUUCUCCCCGAAAGCUAUUUAGGUAGCGCCUCGUGAAUUCAUCUCCGGGGGUAGAGCACUGUUUCGGCAAGGGGGUCAUCCCGACUUACCAACCCGAUGCAAACUGCGAAUACCGGAGAAUGUUAUCACGGGAGACACACGGCGGGUGCUAACGUCCGUCGUGAAGAGGGAAACAACCCAGACCGCCAGCUAAGGUCCCAAAGUCAUGGUUAAGUGGGAAACGAUGUGGGAAGGCCCAGACAGCCAGGAUGUUGGCUUAGAAGCAGCCAUCAUUUAAAGAAAGCGUAAUAGCUCACUGGUCGAGUCGGCCUGCGCGGAAGAUGUAACGGGGCUAAACCAUGCACCGAAGCUGCGGCAGCGACGCUUAUGCGUUGUUGGGUAGGGGAGCGUUCUGUAAGCCUGUGAAGGUGUGCUGUGAGGCAUGCUGGAGGUAUCAGAAGUGCGAAUGCUGACAUAAGUAACGAUAAAGCGGGUGAAAAGCCCGCUCGCCGGAAGACCAAGGGUUCCUGUCCAACGUUAAUCGGGGCAGGGUGAGUCGACCCCUAAGGCGAGGCCGAAAGGCGUAGUCGAUGGGAAACAGGUUAAUAUUCCUGUACUUGGUGUUACUGCGAAGGGGGGACGGAGAAGGCUAUGUUGGCCGGGCGACGGUUGUCCCGGUUUAAGCGUGUAGGCUGGUUUUCCAGGCAAAUCCGGAAAAUCAAGGCUGAGGCGUGAUGACGAGGUACUACGGUGCUGAAGCAACAAAUGCCCUGCUUCCAGGAAAAGCCUCUAAGCAUCAGGUAACAUCAAAUCGUACCCCAAACCGACACAGGUGGUCAGGUAGAGAAUACCAAGGCGCUUGAGAGAACUCGGGUGAAGGAACUAGGCAAAAUGGUGCCGUAACUUCGGGAGAAGGCACGCUGAUAUGUAGGUGAAGUCCCUUGCGGAUGGAGCUGAAAUCAGUCGAAGAUACCAGCUGGCUGCAACUGUUUAUUAAAAACACAGCACUGUGCAAACACGAAAGUGGACGUAUACGGUGUGACGCCUGCCCGGUGCCGGAAGGUUAAUUGAUGGGGUUAGCGGUAACGCGAAGCUCUUGAUCGAAGCCCCGGUAAACGGCGGCCGUAACUAUAACGGUCCUAAGGUAGCGAAAUUCCUUGUCGGGUAAGUUCCGACCUGCACGAAUGGCGUAAUGAUGGCCAGGCUGUCUCCACCCGAGACUCAGUGAAAUUGAACUCGCUGUGAAGAUGCAGUGUACCCGCGGCAAGACGGAAAGACCCCGUGAACCUUUACUAUAGCUUGACACUGAACAUUGAGCCUUGAUGUGUAGGAUAGGUGGGAGGCUUUGAAGUGUGGACGCCAGUCUGCAUGGAGCCGACCUUGAAAUACCACCCUUUAAUGUUUGAUGUUCUAACGUUGACCCGUAAUCCGGGUUGCGGACAGUGUCUGGUGGGUAGUUUGACUGGGGCGGUCUCCUCCUAAAGAGUAACGGAGGAGCACGAAGGUUGGCUAAUCCUGGUCGGACAUCAGGAGGUUAGUGCAAUGGCAUAAGCCAGCUUGACUGCGAGCGUGACGGCGCGAGCAGGUGCGAAAGCAGGUCAUAGUGAUCCGGUGGUUCUGAAUGGAAGGGCCAUCGCUCAACGGAUAAAAGGUACUCCGGGGAUAACAGGCUGAUACCGCCCAAGAGUUCAUAUCGACGGCGGUGUUUGGCACCUCGAUGUCGGCUCAUCACAUCCUGGGGCUGAAGUAGGUCCCAAGGGUAUGGCUGUUCGCCAUUUAAAGUGGUACGCGAGCUGGGUUUAGAACGUCGUGAGACAGUUCGGUCCCUAUCUGCCGUGGGCGCUGGAGAACUGAGGGGGGCUGCUCCUAGUACGAGAGGACCGGAGUGGACGCAUCACUGGUGUUCGGGUUGUCAUGCCAAUGGCACUGCCCGGUAGCUAAAUGCGGAAGAGAUAAGUGCUGAAAGCAUCUAAGCACGAAACUUGCCCCGAGAUGAGUUCUCCCUGACCCUUUAAGGGUCCUGAAGGAACGUUGAAGACGACGACGUUGAUAGGCCGGGUGUGUAAGCGCAGCGAUGCGUUGAGCUAACCGGUACUAAUGAACCGUGAGGCUUAACCUU
RNAcentral lists this ribosomal RNA (2844 nucleotides) under Escherichia coli 1-176-05_S3_C1. Its description in RNAcentral is "bacterial LSU rRNA". It matches the Rfam family "Bacterial large subunit ribosomal RNA". The record is from RNAcentral. Lineage: Bacteria; Pseudomonadati; Pseudomonadota; Gammaproteobacteria; Enterobacterales; Enterobacteriaceae.